RNAcentral lists this ribosomal RNA (490 nucleotides) under uncultured bacterium. RNAcentral describes it as "partial 16S ribosomal RNA". It matches the Rfam family "Bacterial small subunit ribosomal RNA", at positions 30 to 507 of the family's 1533-position model. The record is from RNAcentral.
AUUGAACGCUGGCGGCAGGCCUAACACAUGCAAGUCGAACGGUAACAGGAAGCAGCUUGCUGCUUUGCUGACGAGUGGCGGACGGGUGAGUAAUGUCUGGGAAACUGCCUGAUGGAGGGGGAUAACUACUGGAAACGGUAGCUAGUACCGCAUAACGUCGCAAGACCAAAGAGGGGGACCUUCGGGCCUCUUGCCAUCGGAUGUGCCCAGAUGGGAUUAGCUAGUAGGUGGGGUAACGGCUCACCUAGGCGACGAUCCCUAGCUGGUCUGAGAGGAUGACCAGCCACACUGGAACUGAGACACGGUCCAGACUCCUACGGGAGGCAGCAGUGGGGAAUAUUGCACAAUGGGCGCAAGCCUGAUGCAGCCAUGCCGCGUGUAUGAAGAAGGCCUUCGGGUUGUAAAGUACUUUCAGCGGGGAGGAAGGGAGUAAAGUUAAUACCUUGGCUCAUUGACGUUACCCGCAGAAGAAGCACCGGCUAACUCCGUG